Long non-coding RNA from Sapajus apella (tufted capuchin), 3939 nucleotides. RefSeq lists it as uncharacterized. The transcript has 2 exons. The record is from RefSeq and is a predicted model, not a curated record. Lineage: Eukaryota; Metazoa; Chordata; Mammalia; Primates; Cebidae.
GGUUCUGACCCAGUGUCAGCUUUGGCGUGGCCUCUGUGCCUCCUGUGCUCGGAGCACACAGCCAUCAGCUCCCUGGUUCUCUGGUCUUUCGUGGUCUUUCAAUAGUUUCCAGCAGUGGGAGACCCCUUAUAAAAAAUUGUACUUUUCAGCAGCAGAGGCAUUGUUCUGGAGUAGUCUAUGAACUGUAAACAUAUUCUCAGUAUUCAAAAGCCCAAUCACCUUGGGUGCACACAGGAAAAUGUAAGUAUUUUAAGCACUUUGUCCUGAGAUACAUUUUUUUAGAUGAUCGAUUUACACUGUGUAGGUGUAAAGGCUUAAUAGACAAAGACAAACGUCAGCUCAGCCCUGUUCAUAAUGAACAACAUUUCUGAAGUUAAUAAAAUCCUUAAAAAGUACAUUAUGAUGUGUUAAAAAAAGUCUAUUUUUACUUAAUAGCAGUAACGCUACUAUUCAGUGUUAUAAAAGGUUUUACAACCAGAUUCAAACACUAGAAUCCAUGCCCUUCAAAAACAUAAAACAUAUAUUUACUUUCAUUGAAAAAUACUCAUUUGAUUUUCUUAUAUUUGUGAAAACAUAUUUUGCAUUAAAUAACAUAUGUUAUUUAAAUGUUGACAUAUUAACUGAGAAAUUAUCUCCUGGUUCCUAGAAAACAUUAAUUAAAACCUCAAAGGCUUUAUCUCUAUUUUACAUGUUUCUCUGAAGAAAAUGUAUUGUUUAGAAAACAAACAGUGUUGCCAUGUGAUACUUUUUUUUCAAAUGAGACAACACAGCGGAAUAAAAUAUAUGAUCUGUAGCUGCUGAGGAUGAGUCAGUUCCUGUUUCAAUAACAAGAGUGUCAUCGCUCAACUCUUAACCAGCACAGCUUGUCACUGUGGAUGUGGCUUUAUUUGUACAUGUUGCCAGAAAGUUCUUAGGGAAAAUACACUCAUAGUUUUCAUACCAAAAAAAAAAAAAAAAAAAAAAAGCUUUUGGUGAGCAGUUGUGGCUAUGGCUGUUGCCUUGUUCGUUAUUUAUGCUGUAACCAAUGCUUCACUAAUGGAAGGGUAAUGCUUGCCUGGCCGCAUAAAGUAGUGCCUCAGUUUUCCCUGGGGAAUUCGUCAUUUGCUCAUGUCACCCCAAAGCUCUCACACCCGUGUGUGGUGGUUUUCCAAAGAGUGAGCAGUGCGCCCCGAUGGCAUGACAGAGAGAACUUCCAAGCCGAGAAUCCGAAGACAUGUAGUUUCGUCUGGCUCUGCUAAGUGACGUUUUGAUCUUGGAUUUCUGUUUUCACAUCUACAGAAUUAGGCCACUGAAUACCACGUUCUGUAUGCUUUCUUCCGGGGAGAGAGUCUCUUACUCUUUUUCUAGAAUCAUGAAAUUGAGCUGGCAGUCUUUGCUUGGUCAGAGCCUGAUGUUUCCUGGAUUUAGAACUUGGUUCCCCGGAGACCCACUGGACUAAUUUAAAAUGAUUCAUCUGCAUGAGUCAUUGCCCUGCUGCCUUCAGGACAAGAUGUCUAUCUAUUGUCUUGUUGCUACCAUUUUUUUACAAAUAACUCUAGCUCAGCAGCUGCAGACUCUGGCCCCUGCACCUGGUGGCACUGGCCGGAAGACAUCAGCGGGCUCUCUGCAGGCACACCUGGAGGGAGGGCUUGGGAGGAAGGCGUACGGCCUCCGGUCUCACCACCUCUGAAACACCAUCCCAGGCUGUGUGUAAGGUUCAUGUGCUUUGCGUCAGAUUCUCAGUAGAACGAGAGGCCUUUCAGGGAUCUUCCAAGUCCUGAAGGAAGCCACCAGGCGAAUAGCUGGUUGUCACAUCCCCUUUAGAGCCAGAAGGAAUCAACAUCCUAUCAGAAGGAAAGGAAAUUUCCUGCCAUGGAGAGGAAUCUUACAGCCAAACCGAGUCAUGGUUUUGCCCUCAUUUUAAAAUCCUGUUGUGUAUAUGGAAGCAUAUGGAUCCUAACAAUUUCUCUUUCAAAAUCCUCAUAAUGACUUUCAUUAUGGCCAUGUUUCUGCCUGAAGUGUAUCUGAAAAACGCAUCUAGAGUCUAAGUCUAAAGGCACCAUUCAGUUGUAAUAAUUAACAUCUCAUUUGCAUUCAGUACAAUUCUAAGUUCUAUAUAAGUGUCUAAUCUGGUGAUGGGCGUUGUAUAAUUGCUAAGUAAAUAUUUGCCGUUGGUUAUGGAGAAUGAAUAAGAUGGGCAUGGCCCUGUCUUCCUGUCGUCGCAGCCCAGGGUCGCCUCCUCUAUAAACUGUGACCACAGCUGAAUCAGCGAAGCCGUCACCACCGGCCUCGUCCAUCAGGGUCCUGAGGGCCUGUGAGGAGUUCCAGCACUCCCAUGCAGUGACCCUGCUUUACUUUAAACUCAGUUACAUACACCUGUUUAAGAUAAUGCUGCUGCGUGGCCGCUGAAAACUUCCCGAAUGCCCUGUUUGCUGCUAAAGCUGAUGUUCCCAAAGACAGAGCUGCAGCCAUGGCGGAAAGCGCCACCCUCCAGGAGUGAGCCGGCAUCUGCUUAUCCACGGCUUGGGUCAGCCCCAGUGUGAGGGUGCCGCACAGUACCCAGGCCGACGUCGGAGUUUCCAUCAGUUCAGAAUGACUCGAUCCUUCCCUACAUGUGGAACCAGUUAGGGUAUGUCUCUGGGUCCUGUGACAUGCAGUCCACUCUUGAAUUGCUUUGCUUCAUCAAGAGUUGGUGGGCUAGGUAUCAAAUAGGGCUGGCCAUUUCCCGCUUCCGUUCAAAUCAGACCAAUAACUGAGUCCUGCAGUUGCCUCCAGCUGGCCCUCCCUUCCAGGCCAUCUCUUUGCCAGUCUGCCCUGGUUUCAGGAGAAUAAUCCUCCUGCCAUAGAUUGAUGGUUGCCUGCACACUGCUUUCACUUCCCAUUUUAAGAUCUCAACAUCCCUCCAGGCGGCAUCCCUUGGCAUCCCUUGGUUUGGAAUCUGGGUUGUGAAUUGCCAAACCUCCAGCCCCAUCCAGGCUUACCCGUAACACCCCAGAGCUCCAGCCAUAUCAGCCUGCGUCCCAGCCUGCAGCAUGGUCAAAAGCUGUAAGCCCGCUUCUCUCCUUCUGGCUUGUUUUUCAUGUAAACCAUCCUGCUGGUUGCCUUUGCUGACAAGGGUCCUCCUUCCAUAGAGCUCAGGCCGCCUGGGAGAGCACCUCUGUGCAGCCGCCCCUAAGGGGAGGCGUCUCUGUCCCUUCUCAUGCCUCUUGCACCCUGUGGCUGUGCUGUUAGAGAGUCACACUGAAAUCUACGCUUUGGGCAGUUAAGAGUGUCUAAAGUGACUGCUGCCCUGCUGCACAGAACACUCGAGAUCCGUGGUGUGAUGGGAAGAGCUUUCCAGCUGUGUGGCCUUGGGCUAUCUUCCUCUCUGGGCCUCAGUUUCCUCCCUGGAGCAUGGGAGCACUGAAGGCUACCAACGGGAGCUGCCAGGGUGAAUGGAGAAUUCAUGCCAGACCCUGCUGGUUGUCCCUGCAGAGCAGAAGCUCAGGAAACCCUCCCACCAGCUCCUGGAGAGCACGGGAGGCACUGGCUCCUUCGUUCUCUAUGGAAGGACAGUUCUGCACCAGGGAUUGUUGUUAGAGUCGCAAAUUUGGGAUUCUGGACUUCUGUGCUUGACAGGGGCCUCAAGUCCCCAGUGUCACUCAGUAGUGACAAACCCAAAUGAAAGAUCCUGGCAAAUGAUUAGCAGCCUUCCUGCUGCUGUGCACCUAAACCCUGUUGCUAUUUUGGGGCCAGCAUUGUUCAACCUGGAUUUAGUUCUCCUUUGCUGUCUAUUUUGGCUCUGACCUGCUCUGAAAGGGCAGGCUCCACACCGGGUGCCGCAGCCAAUGGCUUGUCCACGGUCUUUGUCCAAAUGGACUCAGUGAGGAUAUCACCAGAGGAAAAAUAAAAGAUGAGAGAACUUGAAAAACAUAUCUCCCAUUCAGAAUCUUUUUAAAAAUAUACUUUCAAACAAAGAGG